UUAUGUGUUCUUGAGGAUUAUUUAAAGUGCGUAGCAGUGGCACUACACGAUCAUACAUGCAAAGUGGUUUUAGAAUUGCUAACCCAUAUUCCUGUAAUUAACAAAUGUACUAACUAGAUUACAUUAUUUGUAUAUUGCUUUUUUUUUUUUUUUUUUUUUUGGAGACAGUCUUACUCUGUCUCCCAGGCUGGAGCGCAGUGGCACAAUCUCUACUCACUGCAACUUUGCCUCCCAGGUUCAAGCAGUUUUCCUGCAUUAGCAAAUUGAAAAUCUGGAGAAGAAUAAUAAACAUAACAAUACAAUAAUAAAACAUAAUUUAACACUUUGGGAGGCCGAGGCGAGCGGAUCACGAGGUCAGGAGAUCGAGACCAUCCUGGCUAACACUAAGAGUCAAAGAUAUACAGAGAUGUACCCGGAGACAUUUACUAGCAGGUUUCAAUGACAAGUCUCAGAACAAAUCUAUGUUGUAGCAUUUGUCAAAAUUUCCUUUUCUUUUUAGAUUGAACAGUUUUCCAUUGUAUGUAUGUACCACAUUUUGUUUAUUCAUUCAUCUGUUGUUGGACUCUUGGGUUAUCUGCAUCUUUUGGCUGUUGUGAAUAAUUUUGUUGUGAACAUGGGUAUACAAAUAUCUACCCAAGUCCCUGUUUUCACUUCUUUUGGAUAUAUACCUAAGAGGGAAAUUGCAGGAUAAGUUGAGAAUUUAAAACAAAUGAGAACAUAAGAUUUUUAAAAUUGCAUUGUGAAUGUAAAAUUUUUAUCAAUCCUUUGCUCUCUUUUAGACAUAUUGAGAAAAUGUUAAAUAGAAAAAAUUAAGAAAUUUUAAUAAGAUGUUUCAGAUCUUUGAGUAUGAAAAACAUAACAGGUUUCACCCAGGAAGAGGAAGGGCCAGGCUUUUCCUUGCUGCAAAUGGCAUGAACUUCUGUGGCUCCACCCCAGUGCACACUCAUCCCAGUGCACAGGCCUGUUGGAAUUUCUCUGGGAACCCAUUUCCACCUGGCAGUCUCAAUACAGACUAUUUUCACUGCCCUGAAAAUCCUCUGUGCUCCGCCUGUUGGUCCCAACUCCAACUGCCUGAAAAUCCACUUUAAAAUGAGGUAAAUUAAACCUAUUUUGGAGGAGCUAUUUCUUUUUUUGAUGUUGCUGCUCCUGUUCAUUAAAUAGGAGCAACAGUUGUGUAUUUUGGAUGACGUUGCUGUAGCCUUCUGACCUCUUGAGCCCUCAAAACAGAUCAGAAAGAGUUGGGGGAGGGGCACUAGUGCUGGCAGGACAUCUGGAGUGUGAGGUGUCUCUUUUGGGAGGGUCGUAGAAGGUGAUCACCAGCCCGGAUGAGGUCUAUAAAGUCACUAAGAAUAAUACAUUACC
This 1362-nucleotide long non-coding RNA is filed under the name Homo sapiens (human). Its description in RNAcentral is "non-protein coding lnc-C18orf54-1:1". The record is from RNAcentral. Lineage: Eukaryota; Metazoa; Chordata; Mammalia; Primates; Hominidae.